CUCGGAAUCUAAGCAGGCUCAGGCCUGGUUGGUACUUGGAUGGGAGACCGCCUGGGAAUACCAGGUGCCGUAGGCUU
This 77-nucleotide ribosomal RNA is filed under the name Paratrygon ajereba. The record is from RNAcentral. Lineage: Eukaryota; Metazoa; Chordata; Chondrichthyes; Myliobatiformes; Potamotrygonidae.